AGUAGACUGGCUUUGAAUAGGAACAUGCGCAGGUGGAGGCUUAGUAGUGGCUGUAAGAAGGAGGACAGCCCUAAUUUGGAGGGUCAUUUGCAUUUGAAAAUGCUCCUUACUAAAUUGACUUGCGGAGUUUUCCAGGCUUCAUCUUUUCUCCUUUGCUGGAUGCUUCCUGCCCUCGAACAUCAGACUCCAAGUUCUUCAGCUUUUGGAGUCUUGGACUUACUGGUGGUUAACAAGGGGUUAUCAGGCCUUCAGCCACAGAUUGAAGGCUGCACUGUCAGCUUGUCUACUUUUGAGGUUUUGGGACUCAGACUGGUUCCUUGCUCCUCCGCUUGCAGACAGCCUAUUGUGGGACUUCACCUUGUGAUCAUGUGAUGCUGUGAACCCUCCCCAAGGGAGGUACCAAAAGCCUGCAUGAAGCAAAAACUGGAAACAAAUAAAGGAGAGUAUGGUGACUUUGCACUAAGUUACUCAUUUAUUCACAUAAUUAAUGAGUUUCUAUUAGUGUUAGGCACCGUUCUAGAUGAUGGUAUAAUUAGUUAACAAAAACCUCAAAACUCUCGCCCCCCAUGGAGCUUACAUUUCCAGGGAGGGAGAGAGAUGAUACAACAAUAAGAAAAUACAGAGCUAAUGUCAUUCUAUAUUGUAUAAUUAUGUAAAAUCAAGCCUGAGUAUUUGACAGCUUCUCAGAUACCACAGAUCUGUU
This 703-nucleotide long non-coding RNA is filed under the name Homo sapiens (human). RNAcentral's name for it is "long non-coding RNA NONHSAT198393.1". Lineage: Eukaryota; Metazoa; Chordata; Mammalia; Primates; Hominidae. The record is from RNAcentral.